UUAAGUUCAGCGGGUAUCCCUACCUGAUCCGAGGCAAGUCAUAAAAGUAGCUUGAUGGACGCUGAUCCGCCGGGUCUCCGAGAAGCGCAAAUGUGCUGCGCGAGGAGCCGGCACGACCGCCGCCAAUGACUUUGAGGCGAGUCCGCGCUUCGAGAGCGGGACAAACGCCCAACACCAAGCAUAGCUUGAGGGUGUAAAUG
RNAcentral lists this unclassified non-coding RNA (200 nucleotides) under Periconia sp. RNAcentral's name for it is "partial internal transcribed spacer 2". The record is from RNAcentral. Lineage: Eukaryota; Fungi; Ascomycota; Dothideomycetes; Pleosporales; Periconiaceae.